This 699-nucleotide ribosomal RNA is filed under the name Clematepistephium smilacifolium. RNAcentral's name for it is "eukaryotic LSU rRNA". The stretch from base 268 to 422 matches the Rfam family "5.8S ribosomal RNA". The record is from RNAcentral. Lineage: Eukaryota; Viridiplantae; Streptophyta; Magnoliopsida; Asparagales; Orchidaceae.
GUAGGUGAACUGCGGAAGGUCAUUGUCGAGAGCCCUAAAAGUCCAUGCGACUGUGAAAAACCGUGCGAGGAUGGGUGCGAAACUGAUGCCCUGCUCUGUCUCCAACCAGUGUGGGCGCUUUCGUGGGGAGCGGUCCAUGUGGCGGUGGGAAAACCAGGAUGUGGGCGAAGUUACGCGCCAAGGGACGAGUGAAUGUUGUUUUUGCGACGUCGCCGGCCGUGGAACCAGAAUGGGUUGGCGAGGCGUGACACGUGUAAUCGAUCAAAGGACUCUCGGCAACGGAUAUCUUGGCUCUCGCAUCGAUGAAGAACGCAGCGAAAUGCGAUAUGUGUUGUGAAUUGCAGAAUCCCGUGAACCAUCCAGUCUUUGAACGCAAGUCGCGCCCGAGGAUGCAAGCCGAGGGCACGCCUGCAUGGGUGUGAUGCAUUGUAUGUUUGCUCCUUGCAGAUGUUCGAACCCGCCUUUAGGGUUCCUCGGGAUUUGUUUGGAGGCGAGCAGUGGCUCCCCGUGCUGCAGCAUGGUGGGUUGAAGCGCGGGUCGAUGAUCGGCUGGUGACGUUAUUGGAGGUGGACGACGCAUGCUGUCGCGCAAGCGGCCAUAAGGACAUUCCGUUGCAGCCUUCCGCUUGUAUGACCCUUGCAAAACCAACUCCACGCACCUUUUUGUGGAUCGUGACCCCAUGUCAGGCGAGCUACCCCC